This 440-nucleotide ribosomal RNA is filed under the name uncultured bacterium. RNAcentral describes it as "partial 16S ribosomal RNA". It matches the Rfam family "Bacterial small subunit ribosomal RNA", at positions 338 to 795 of the family's 1533-position model. The record is from RNAcentral.
CCUACGGGUGGCAGCAGUGAGGAAUAUUGGGCAAUGGAGGCAACUCUGACCCAGCCAUGCCGCGUGAGUGAAGAAGGUUUUCGGAUUGUAAAGCUCUUUCGGAUGUGACGAUGAUGACGGUAGCUGCUAAAGAAGCCCCGGCUAACUACGUGCCAGCAGCCGCGGUAAUACGAAGGGGGCAAGCGUUGUCCGGAUUUACUGGGUGUAAAGGGAGUGUAGGCGGUGUAGUAAGAUAGAUGUGAAAGCCCGGGGCUUAACUUUGGAAUUGCCGUUGAAACUGUUAGACUAGAAUAACAGAGAGGUAAGUGGAAUACCCAGUGUAGAGGUGAAAUUCGUAGAUAUUAGGUAGAACACCAGUGGCGAAGGCGACUUACUGGCUGUACAUUGACGCUGAGGCUCGAAAGCGUGGGGAUCAAACAGGAUUAGAUACCCGUGUAGUC